This 661-nucleotide ribosomal RNA is filed under the name uncultured bacterium. RNAcentral's name for it is "bacterial SSU rRNA". It matches the Rfam family "Bacterial small subunit ribosomal RNA", at positions 22 to 731 of the family's 1533-position model. The record is from RNAcentral.
GCUCAGAACGAACGCUGGCGGCAGGCUUAACACAUGCAAGUCGAACGCCCCGCAAGGGGAGUGGCAGACGGGUGAGGAACACGUGGGAACGUACCCUUUGGUUCGGAACAACCCUGGGAAACUAGGGCUAAUACCGGAUACGAGCGAGAGCUGAAAGGUUUACCGCCGAAGGAUCGGCCCGCGUCUGAUUAGCUAGUUGGUGAGGUAAUGGCUCACCAAGGCGACGAUCAGUAGCUGGUCUGAGAGGAUGAUCAGCCACAUUGGGACUGAGACACGGCCCAAACUCCUACGGGAGGCAGCAGUGGGGAAUAUUGGACAAUGGGCGCAAGCCUGAUCCAGCCAUGCCGCGUGAGUGAUGACGGCCCUAGGGUUGUAAAGCUCUUUUACCCGGGAAGAUAAUGACGGUACCGGGAGAAUAAGCCCCGGCUAACUUCGUGCCAGCAGCCGCGGUAAUACGAAGGGGGCUAGCGUUGUUCGGAUUUACUGGGCGUAAAGCGCACGUAGGCGGACGCUUAAGUCAGGGGUGAAAUCCCGAGGCUCAACCUCGGAACUGCCUUUGAUACUGGGUGUCUUGAGUCCGGAAGAGGUGAGUGGAACUGCGAGUGUAGAGGUGAAAUUCGUAGAUAUUCGCAAGAACACCAGUGGCGAAGGCGGCUCACUG